CCAACAGGGAUUGCCUCAGUAACGGCGAGCUGAAGCGGCUACAGCUCAAAUUUGAAAUCUGGCUCUUUCAGGAUCCGAGAUUGUAAUUUGUAGAGAGAUGCUUCGGCGUGGGCUCCGGUCUAAGUUCCUUGGAACAGGACGUCAUAGAGGGUGAGAAUCCCGUAUGUGAUCGGUUGCCUUUGCCAUGUGAAGCUCCUUCGACGAGUCGAGUUGUUUGGGAAUGCAGCUCUAAAUGGGAGGUAAAUUUCUUCUAAAGCUAAAUACUGGCCAGAGACCGAUAGCGCACAAGUAGAGUGAUCGAAAGAUGAAAAGCACUUUGGAAAGAGAGUCAAAAAGUACGUGAAAUUGUUGAAAGGGAAGCGCUUGCAACCAGACCUGCCUGCAGUUGCUCAUCCGGGCUUUUGCCCGGUGCACUCUUCUGCUGUCAGGCCAGCAUCGGUUCGGGCGGUCGGAUAAAGGCUUCGGGAAUGUAGCUCCUCUCGAGGAGUGUUAUAGCCCGUUGCGAAAUGCGGCCAGCCUGAACCUGAGGUCCGCGCUUCGGCUAGGAUGCUGGCGUAAUGGUUGU
RNAcentral lists this ribosomal RNA (565 nucleotides) under uncultured Cenococcum. RNAcentral's name for it is "eukaryotic LSU rRNA". It matches the Rfam family "Eukaryotic large subunit ribosomal RNA", at positions 65 to 641 of the family's 3401-position model. Lineage: Eukaryota; Fungi; Ascomycota; Dothideomycetes; Gloniales; Gloniaceae. The record is from RNAcentral.